ACGGCUCAAGUUUCUAGCUAUCGUAUAAAGGUAUCUAACUCUGAAUACAUAGGGGUUAGAAGCGAACCUGGGGAACUGAAACAUCUAAGUACCCAGAGGAAAGGACAUCAAACGAGACUCCGCUAGUAGUGGCGAGCGAACGCGUACCAGGCCAGUGGCUUUUGUGAAUGAAGUGGAACGAGUUGGAAAACUCGACCGAAGUGGGUGAUAGUCCCGUACACGUAGAAUAGCAGAAGUCCUUGAGUAGGGCGGGACACGUGAAAUCCUGUCUGAACAUGGGUCGACCACGAUCCAAGCCUAAGUACUCGUGCAUGACCGAUAGCGAACCAGUACCGUGAGGGAAAGGUGAAAAGCACCCCGACGAGGGGAGUGAAACAGUACCUGAAACCGGAUGCCUACAAACAGUUGGAGCCCAAGGUUCGUCCUGGGUGACAGCGUACCUUUUGUAUAAUGGGUCAGCGACUUAGUGUAUCGAGCAAGCUUAAGCCGGUAGGUGUAGGCGCAGCGAAAGCGAGUCUGAACAGGGCGUUCAGUUCGAUGCAUUAGACCCGAAACCAAGUGAUCUAGCCAUGAGCAGGUUGAAGGUACGGUAACACGUACUGGAGGACCGAACCCAUAUCUGUUGCAAUAGAUCGGGAUGACUUGUGGCUAGGGGUGAAAGGCCAAUCAAACUUGGAGAUAGCUGGUUCUCCGCGAAAUCUAUUUAGGUAGAGCGUCGACCGAAUACCCCCGGGGGUAGAGCACUGGAUGGGCUAUGGGGACUCACCGUCUUACUGAUCCUAACCAAACUCCGAAUACCGGGGAGUACUAGUCGGCAGACACACGGCGGGUGCUAACGUCCGUCGUGGAGAGGGCAACAACCCUGACCACCAUCUAAAGGUCCCUAAGUUAUGGCUAAGUGGGAAGGGAUGUGAGGAUCCCAAACAACCCAGGAUGUGGGCAUAGAAGCAGCCGAUCAUGUAAGAAAGCGUGACAAGCUCACUGGUCCUCACAUAAGGUCUUUUGCAGCCGGAAAAUGUAACCGGGGGG
This 1029-nucleotide ribosomal RNA is filed under the name Brucella intermedia. RNAcentral describes it as "bacterial LSU rRNA". It matches the Rfam family "Bacterial large subunit ribosomal RNA", at positions 117 to 1183 of the family's 2925-position model. Lineage: Bacteria; Pseudomonadati; Pseudomonadota; Alphaproteobacteria; Hyphomicrobiales; Brucellaceae. The record is from RNAcentral.